UACGUAGGGACCGAGCGUUGUCCGGAUUCAUUGGGCGUAAAGCGCGUGUAGGCGGCCAGGUAGGUCCGAUGUGAAAUCUGGAGGCUCAACCUCCAGCGGUCAUUGGAAACCAUCUGGCUAGAGUCCGGAAGAGGAGAGUGGAAUUCCUGGUGUAGCGGUGAAAUGCGCAGAUAUCAGGAAGAACACCAAUGGCGAAGGCAGCUCUCUGGGACGGUACUGACGCUGAGACGCGAAAGCGUGGGGAGCGAACAGG
Molecule: ribosomal RNA, 253 nt
Filed under: uncultured bacterium
Lineage: Bacteria
Description: partial 16S ribosomal RNA
Rfam family: Bacterial small subunit ribosomal RNA
Source: RNAcentral